GAUGAACGCUAGCUACAGGCUUAACACAUGCAAGUCGCAGGGUAACAUGAGGAAAGCUUGCUUUCCUUGAUGACGACUGGCGCACGGGUGAGUAACGCGUAUCCAACCUUCCCAUAACUACGGGAUAACCCGUUGAAAGACGGCCUAAUACCGUAUGAUAUCGUUUGCUGACAUCAAAUAACGAUUAAAGGUUUAGCGGUUAUGGAUGGGGAUGCGUCUGAUUAGCUUGUUGGCGGGGUAACGGCCCACCAAGGCUACGAUCAGUAGGGGUUCUGAGAGGAAGGUCCCCCACAUUGGAACUGAGACACGGUCCUAACUCCUACGGGAGGCAGCAGUGAGGAAUAUUGGUCAAUGGGCGCGAGCCUGAACCAGCCAAGUAGCGUGCAGGACGACGGCCCUAUGGGUUGUAAACUGCUUUUAUGCGGGGAUAAAGGAGUCCACGUGUGGAUUUUUGCAGGUACCGCAUGAAUAAGGACCGGCUAAUUCCGUGCCAGCGCCGCGGUAAAAGGG
Molecule: ribosomal RNA, 510 nt
Filed under: uncultured Bacteroidales bacterium
Lineage: Bacteria; Pseudomonadati; Bacteroidota; Bacteroidia; Bacteroidales
Description: bacterial SSU rRNA
Rfam family: Bacterial small subunit ribosomal RNA
Source: RNAcentral